This 425-nucleotide ribosomal RNA is filed under the name uncultured bacterium. RNAcentral's name for it is "bacterial SSU rRNA". It matches the Rfam family "Bacterial small subunit ribosomal RNA", at positions 356 to 773 of the family's 1533-position model. The record is from RNAcentral.
GGGGAAUAUUGGACAAUGGGCGAAAGCCUGAUCCAGCCAUGCCGCGUGUGUGAAGAAGGCCUUCGGGUUGUAAAGCACUUUAAGCGAGGAGGAAGGUUCGUUACUUAAUACGUAACGGAAUUGACGUUACUCGCAGAAUAAGCACCGGCUAACUCUGUGCCAGCAGCCGCGGUCAUACAGAGGGUGCAAGCGUUAAUCGGAAUCACUGGGCGUAAAGCGCGCGUAGGCGGUUGUGUAAGUUGGAUGUGAAAUCCCCGGGCUUAACCUGGGCACUGCAUUCAAAACUGCACGGCUAGAGUAUGGGAGAGGAAGGUAGAAUUCCAGGUGUAGCGGUGAAAUGCGUAGAGAUCUGGAGGAAUACCGAUGGCGAAGGCAGCCUUCUGGCCUAAUACUGACGCUGAGGUGCGAAAGCAUGGGGAGCAAAC